RNAcentral lists this ribosomal RNA (372 nucleotides) under uncultured organism. Its description in RNAcentral is "partial 16S ribosomal RNA". It matches the Rfam family "Bacterial small subunit ribosomal RNA", at positions 527 to 896 of the family's 1533-position model. The record is from RNAcentral.
GUAGGUGGCAAGCGUUGUCCGGAAUUAUUGGGCGUAAAGCGCGCGCAGGCGGUUCUUUAAGUCUGAUGUGAAAGCCCACGGGCUCAACCGUGGAGGGUCAUUGGAAACUGGAGAACUUGAGUACAGAAGAGGAAAGCGGAAUUCCACGUGUAGCGGUGAAAUGCGUAGAGAUGUGGAGGAACACCAGUGGCGAAGGCGGCUUUCUGGUCUGUAACUGACGCUGAGGCGCGAAAGCGUGGGGAGCAAACAGGAUUAGAUACCCUGGUAGUCCACGCCGUAAACGAUGAGUGCUAAGUGUUAGGGGGUUUCCGCCCCUUAGUGCUGCAGCUAACGCAUUAAGCAUUCCGCCUGGGGAGUACGGCCGCAAGGCUG